RNAcentral lists this unclassified non-coding RNA (345 nucleotides) under soil metagenome. RNAcentral's name for it is "partial contains 5.8S ribosomal RNA, internal transcribed spacer 2, and large subunit ribosomal RNA". The stretch from base 1 to 119 matches the Rfam family "5.8S ribosomal RNA", at positions 35 to 154 of the family's 154-position model. The record is from RNAcentral.
GAUGAAGAACGUAGCGAAAUGCGAUACGUAAUGUGAAUUGCAAAUUCAGUGAAUCAUCGAGUCUUUGAACGCACAUUGCGCCCCCUGGUAUUCCGGGGGGCAUGCCUGUCCGAGCGUCAUUGCUGCCCUCAAGCACGGCUUGUGUGUUGGGCCCCGUCCUCCGAUCCCGGGGGACGGGCCCGAAAGGCAGCGGCGGCACCGCGUCCGGUCCUCGAGCGUAUGGGGCUUCGUCACCCGCUCUGUAGGCCCGGCCGGCGCUUGCCGAUCAACCCAAAUUUUUAUCCAGGUUGACCUCGGAUCAGGUAGGGAUACCCGCUGAACUUAAGCAUAUCAAUAAGCGGAGGA